This 510-nucleotide ribosomal RNA is filed under the name uncultured bacterium. RNAcentral's name for it is "partial 16S ribosomal RNA". It matches the Rfam family "Bacterial small subunit ribosomal RNA", at positions 28 to 507 of the family's 1533-position model. The record is from RNAcentral.
GACGAACGCUGGCGGCGUGCUUAACACAUGCCAGUCGAACGAAGAGCGAUGGAAGCUUGCUUCUAUCAAUCUUAGUGGCGAACGGGUGAGUAACGCGUAAUCAACCUGCCCUUCAGAGGGGGACAACAGUUGGAAACGACUGCUAAUACCGCAUACGAUCUAAUCUCGGCAUCGAGGAUAGAUGAAAGGUGGCCUCUACAUGUAAGCUAUCACUGAAGGAGGGGAUUGCGUCUGAUUAGCUAGUUGGAGGGGUAACGGCCCACCAAGGCGAUGAUCAGUAGCCGGUCUGAGAGGAUGAACGGCCACAUUGGGACUGAGACACGGCCCAGACUCCUACGGGAGGCAGCAGUGGGGAAUCUUCCGCAAUGGACGAAAGUCUGACGGAGCAACGCCGCGUGAGCGAUGACGGCCUUCGGGUUGUAAAGCUCUGUUAAUCGGGACGAAAGGCCUUCCUGCGAAUAGUGAGAAGGAUUGACGGUACCGGAAUAGAAAGCCACGGCUAACUACGUG